CAAUAGCGUAUAUUAAAGUUGUUGCAGUUAAAACGCUCGUAGUCGGAUUUCGGGGCGGGUCCGCCGGUCUGCCGAUGGGUACGCACUGGCGGGCGCGUCCUUUCCUUCCGGAGACUGGCCCUACUCUUAGCUGAGCGGGGUCGGGAGUCGGAUCGUUUACUUUGAAAAAAUCAGAGUGUUUCAAGCAGGCAGCUCGCUCUUGCAUGGAUUAGCAUGGGAUAAUGAAAUAGGACUUUGGUGCUAUUUUGUUGGUUUCGAACACCGAAGUAAUGAUUAACAGGGACAGUCAGGGGCACUCGUAUUCCGCCGAGAGAGGUGAAAUUCUCAGACCAGCGGAAGACGAACCACUGCGAAAGCAUUUGCCAGGGAUGUUUUCACUGA
Molecule: ribosomal RNA, 381 nt
Filed under: uncultured eukaryote
Lineage: Eukaryota
Description: partial 18S ribosomal RNA
Rfam family: Eukaryotic small subunit ribosomal RNA
Source: RNAcentral